RNAcentral lists this ribosomal RNA (820 nucleotides) under uncultured bacterium. RNAcentral describes it as "bacterial SSU rRNA". It matches the Rfam family "Bacterial small subunit ribosomal RNA", at positions 59 to 892 of the family's 1533-position model. The record is from RNAcentral.
CAGUCGAACGGAGCUUAAAGAGCUUGCUUUUUAAGCUUAGUGGCGAACGGGUGAGUUACGCGUGAGUAACCUGCCCUAGAGAGGGGGACAACAGUUGGAAACGACUGCUAAUACCGCAUAAGCCCACGGCUCGGCAUCGAGCAGAGGGAAAAGGAGCAAUCCGCUUUGAGAUGGCCUCGCGUCCGAUUAGCUAGUUGGUGAGGUAACGGCCCACCAAGGCGACGAUCGGUAGCCGGACUGAGAGGUUGAACGGCCACAUUGGGACUGAGACACGGCCCAGACUCCUACGGGAGGCAGCAGUGGGGAAUAUUGCACAAUGGGGGAAACCCUGAUGCAGCGACGCCGCGUGGAGGAAGAAGGUCUUCGGAUUGUAAACUCCUGUUGUUGAGGAAGAUAAUGACGGUACUCAACAAGGAAGUGACGGCUAACUACGUGCCAGCAGCCGCGGUAAAACGUAGGUCACAAGCGUUGUCCGGAAUUACUGGGUGUAAAGGGAGCGCAGGCGGGAGAACAAGUUGGAAGUGAAAUCCAUGGGCUCAACCCAUGAACUGCUUUCAAAACUGUUUUUCUUGAGUAGUGCAGAGGUAGGCGGAAUUCCCGGUGUAGCGGUGGAAUGCGUAGAUAUCGGGAGGAACACCAGUGGCGAAGGCGGCCUACUGGGCACCAACUGACGCUGAGGCUCGAAAGUGUGGGUAGCAAACAGGAUUAGAUACCCUGGUAGUCCACACCGUAAACGAUGAUUACUAGGUGUUGGAGGAUUGACCCCUUCAGUGCCGCAGUUAACACAAUAAGUAAUCCACCUGGGGAGUACGACCGCAAG